Molecule: ribosomal RNA, 669 nt
Filed under: Escherichia coli
Lineage: Bacteria; Pseudomonadati; Pseudomonadota; Gammaproteobacteria; Enterobacterales; Enterobacteriaceae
Description: partial 23S ribosomal RNA
Rfam family: Bacterial large subunit ribosomal RNA
Source: RNAcentral
AUGCGUUGUUGGGUAGGGGAGCGUUCUGUAAGCCUGUGAAGGUGUGCUGUGAGGCAUGCUGGAGGUAUCAGAAGUGCGAAUGCUGACAUAAGUAACGAUAAAGCGGGUGAAAAGCCCGCUCGCCGGAAGACCAAGGGUUCCUGUCCAACGUUAAUCGGGGCAGGGUGAGUCGACCCCUAAGGCGAGGCCGAAAGGCGUAGUCGAUGGGAAACAGGUUAAUAUUCCUGUACUUGGUGUUACUGCGAAGGGGGGACGGAGAAGGCUAUGUUGGCCGGGCGACGGUUGUCCCGGUUUAAGCGUGUAGGCUGGUUUUCCAGGCAAAUCCGGAAAAUCAAGGCUGAGGCGUGAUGACGAGGCACUGCGGUGCUGAAGCAACAAAUGCCCUGCUUCCAGGAAAAGCCUCUAAGCAUCAGGUAACAUCAAAUCGUACCCCAAACCGACACAGGUGGUCAGGUAGAGAAUACCAAGGCGCUUGAGAGAACUCGGGUGAAGGAACUAGGCAAAAUGGUGCCGUAACUUCGGGAGAAGGCACGCUGAUAUGUAGGUGAAGUCCCUCGCGGAUGGAGCUGAAAUCAGUCGAAGAUACCAGCUGGCUGCAACUGUUUAUUAAAAACACAGCACUGUGCAAACACGAAAGUGGACGUAUACGGUGUGACGCCUGCCCGGUGC